RNAcentral lists this ribosomal RNA (532 nucleotides) under uncultured bacterium. RNAcentral describes it as "bacterial SSU rRNA". It matches the Rfam family "Bacterial small subunit ribosomal RNA", at positions 777 to 1311 of the family's 1533-position model. The record is from RNAcentral.
AAUAGAUACCCAGGUAGUCCACGCCGUAAACGAUGGAUACUAGCUGUUCGUCCGCCUCGGCGGAUGAGUGGCUAAGCGAAAGUGAUAAGUAUCCCACCUGGGGAGUACGAACGCAAGUUUGAAACUCAAAGGAAUUGACGGGGGCCCGCACAAGCGGUGGAGCAUGUGGUUUAAUUCGAUGAUACGCGAGGAACCUUACCAAGGCUUAAAUGUAGAUUGACAGGACAGGAAACAGUUUUUCUUCGGACAAUUUACAAGGUGCUGCAUGGUUGUCGUCAGCUCGUGCCGUGAGGUGUCAGGUUAAGUCCUAUAACGAGCGCAACCCCUGUUGUUAGUUGCCAGCGAGUCAAGUCGGGAACUCUAACAAGACUGCCAGUGUAAACUGUGAGGAAGGUGGGGAUGACGUCAAAUCAUCACGGCCCUUACGCCUUGGGCUACACACGUGCUACAAUGGCCGGUACAGAGAGCAGCCACUGCGCGAGCAGGAGCGAAUCUAUAAAACCGGGUCACAGUUCGGAUCGGAGUCUGCAAC